Molecule: long non-coding RNA, 1659 nt
Filed under: Canis lupus familiaris (dog)
Lineage: Eukaryota; Metazoa; Chordata; Mammalia; Carnivora; Canidae
Description: lncRNA (ENSCAFG00040023795.1)
Source: RNAcentral
AUGGAUGGAAAAAUAAAUAAAUAUAAGAAAAGCAUUAGAUCGUGGCUACUUCUGAAGAUGGAUGAAAAAAUAAACAGACAAACAAAAGCAUUAGAUCGUGGCGACUUCCGAGGCCUGCCGGCUGGAGCGCGGGGCGGCGGGGGCGGCGGGGGCCCGGGGACCGCCGACCCCAGGCCCGGCGCGGGCCCGAGGCGCGCCCCGCUUCUCCUUCGCGUCCGCAGGCGCCGGCUCCCUGGGGACCUCCUGGGUGACGUCCCGUCGCUGCCUCCGGGGAGGGGAAGGUGUGCAGGAAACAGGCAGGUCCCCGAGAUGCAAAUCGCGGCUCCAGACCACCGGGGCGUCCGGCCCGCGGGCCCGCUCGGGUGCCCCGCGCCGCCCUGUCGCACGGUUUCCGGCGCCGCCGCAGGUGCGGGUCGGCGCGGAGACGCGGGAGGAGGAGGCGCGCUCACCCCGGAAACUGAAAGUCGCCCCCGCAGCCCGCGAGCGCGCGGGGGCCGCCCGGGACCCCAGGAGCCACGCUCAGAGCGCCGGCGAGGGCCGCGGGCCGACGCCGAGAGCCGCAGCCGCCCGCCGCCACGGCGGACGCCCCGGAAGUGCGCCCCCGCGCGCGGGCGGCGCAUGCGCCGAGCGAGGGGGCGGGUCGCGGCUGCCGCCGGAAGCACUCCCUCCCAGGCGGCGUUUCCUUCCGGUGCGAGGCUGGCCGACGGCUCCUGCUGCCUCAGUGUCCGCCCCGGGGUGAGUAGCGGGCUCCUCCGGGGCCUCGUGGGACGAGGCGGGAUGCCGCCCAGCUCCCGUGGGGGGCGGCCGGGAUCUGGGAGGCCGCGCGAGCAAGGUCACCGCGCCGCCCCCGCCCCCGGUGCCGACGCCGGCUUCCCGCAGCCCUUGGUUGGUGUCCCGCAGGUUCACCUCCAAGGGCGUCCCGGGCCUCGCUUGGCUUCCGGCCCGGCCUGGGCCCUGGGGGUCCCCCAGCGCGGCCCCUCGCUUGUGCCGGCGGGCGCGGGAGUCCCCGUGGGCGCGGCCCGGGCGGGCUCUGGCGGAGGACGGUGCUCGUGGUCACAGCCUGCCGUGAUCUCCGUGGCGGCCGGCGGGCGCGUCCCCGGGGCUGUCCCUGAUCCCGUCCCCGAUCCCGGCCGUGUCCCCGGUCCCGUCCCCGAGCCCGGCCCCGUCCCCGAGCCCGUCCCCGGCCCGUGUCCCCGGGUCCCGUCCCCGGGCUCGUCCCCGGCCGUGUCCCCGGUCCCGUCCCCGGGCUCGUCCCCGGCCGUGUCCCCGGUCCCGUCCCCGUCCCGCCCCCCGUCCCGUCCCCGGGGCUCCCUGCCUGCGGGGCUGGGCCUUCGGGGUCGGGAGACACUUCCCUCCGACCCUGCGGUGAACGAGGGCGGAGAGCCUGGGUCUCGCCCCGCCGGGUCGCCGUGCGCUCGCUGCCGUUUCCUGCCCAGACACGGAGCGCGGGUGAGACGCGAGCCCCUCGGGUCCCGUCCGCCGCACCUGCGGCCCCGCCCCGCGGAGCUCCUGCCGCGUUUCCUUCGCGUUCGUACGCGCCCGGCUGCGUAUCCCUGUUGGUGUUUCCCGCUGGCCGGACCGGAGUGCGCGGCGUCGGCCCCCGGCCUGUGGGUGCUGGGCGAGCGCACGGCGGAGCGCCUGCCCGGAGGCCGCCGGUAG